GACGAACGCUGGCGGCGUGCUUAACACAUGCAAGUCGAACGGAAAGGCCCUGCUUUUGUGGGGUGCUCGAGUGGCGAACGGGUGAGUAACACGUGAGUAACCUGCCCUUGACUUUGGGAUAACUUCAGGAAACUGGGGCUAAUACCGGAUAGGAGCUCCUGCUGCAUGGUGGGGGUUGGAAAGUUUCGGCGGUUGGGGAUGGACUCGCGGCUUAUCAGCUUGUUUGUGGGGUAGUGGCUUACCAAGGCUUUGACGGGUAGCCGGCCUGAGAGGGUGACCGGCCACAUUGGGACUGAGAGACGGCCCAGACUCCUACGGGAGGCAGCAGUGGGGAAUAUUGCACAAUGGGCGGAAGCCUGAUGCAGCAACGCCGCGUGCGGGAUGACGGCCUUCGGGUUGUAAACCGCUUUCGCCUGUGACGAAGCGUGAGUGACGGUAAUGGGUAAAGAAGCACCGGCUAACUACGUG
Molecule: ribosomal RNA, 468 nt
Filed under: uncultured bacterium
Lineage: Bacteria
Description: partial 16S ribosomal RNA
Rfam family: Bacterial small subunit ribosomal RNA
Source: RNAcentral